This 767-nucleotide ribosomal RNA is filed under the name uncultured bacterium. RNAcentral's name for it is "bacterial SSU rRNA". It matches the Rfam family "Bacterial small subunit ribosomal RNA", at positions 705 to 1501 of the family's 1533-position model. The record is from RNAcentral.
AACACCAAUGGCGUAGGCAGGAUACUGGACUAUUUCUGACGCUAAGGCACGAAAGCGUGGGGAGCGAACCGGAUUAGAUACCCGGGUAGUCCACGCCGUAAACUAUGGAUGCUAGCUGUGGGGGGUAUCGACCCCUUCCGUAGCGAAGCUAACGCGUUAAGCAUCCCGCCUGUGGAGUACGGUCGCAAGACUAAAACAUAAAGGAAUUGACGGGGACCCGCACAAGCGGUGGAGCGUGUUCUUUAAUUCGAUGAUAAACGAAGAACCUUACCAGGGCUUGACAUCCCUUGAAUUUUGUCGAAAGACGAGAGUGCUUUAUUGAGCAAGGUGACAGGUGAUGCAUGGCCGUCGUCAGCUCGUGUCGUGAGAUGUUUGGUUAAGUCCAUUAACGAGCGCAACCCUUGUGAGUAGUUGAAUUUUUCUACUCAGACUGCCCCGGCAACGGGGAGGAAGGAGGGGAUGAGGUCAGGUCAGUAUUUCCCUUAUGUCCUGGGCUAGAAACGCGCUACAAUGGCCGGUACAACGGGCAGCCAAGUCGUGAGACGGAGCUAAUCCCAUCAAAGCCGGUCCCAGUUCGGAUUGCAGGCUGAAACUCGCCUGCAUGAAGUCGGAAUCGCUAGUAAUCGCAAGUCAGCAAAUUGCGGUGAAUACGUUCCCGGGUCUUGUACACACCGCCCGUCAAGCCAUGAAAGUCACCAACACCCGAAGUCCGAUUCGUCGGCCUAAGGUGGGGGGGAUAAUUGGGGUUAAGUCGUAACAAGGUAACC